CCUACGGGAGGCAGCAGUGGGGAAUAUUGCGCAAUGGGCGAAAGCCUGACGCAGCGACGCCGCGUGAGGGAUGCAGGUCUUCGGAUCGUAAACCUCUGUCAGCAGGGAAGAACGGUCACUGUGCUAAUCAGCAGUGAAUUGACGGUACCUGCAAAGGAAGCACCGGCGAACUCCGUGCCAGCCGCGGCGGUAAUACGGAGGGUGCGAGCGUUAAUCGGAAUUACUGGGCGUAAAGCGCUCGUAGGCGGUAUGUCAAGUCAAGGGUGAAAUCCCCGCGCUCAACGUGGGAACUGCCUUUGAAACUGGCAAACUGGAGUGUGUGAGAGGAUAGUGGAAUGCCAGGUGUAGGAGUGAAAUCCGUAGAUAUCUGGAGGAACAUCAGUGGCGAAGGCGACUAUCUGGCACAUAACUGACGCUGAGGAGCGAAAGCGUGGGUAGCAAACAGGAUUAGAGACCCUUGUAGUC
Molecule: ribosomal RNA, 465 nt
Filed under: uncultured bacterium
Lineage: Bacteria
Description: partial 16S ribosomal RNA
Rfam family: Bacterial small subunit ribosomal RNA
Source: RNAcentral